RNAcentral lists this long non-coding RNA (1538 nucleotides) under Anser brachyrhynchus (Pink-footed goose). Its description in RNAcentral is "lncRNA (ENSABRG00000008488.1)". Lineage: Eukaryota; Metazoa; Chordata; Aves; Anseriformes; Anatidae. The record is from RNAcentral.
GUUUACUGCAGAUCUGAACAGUUUUGAAGAUGCAAUUCCAAAAGAAAUGUUAAUUCUGAACUUGUGGCCACACCGUAUCAUUCAGCAUUUAAUUUGUGCCCAGCUCUCUGAAGGAGGUGGGCAAACCCAUCCGCUACAUGAAGCAACUGCACCCAACCAGAGUAGAAGGGAGCUUCUCUGGGACACCACCGCCACCAAGAACCGCGUGCUGUAAUGCUGAGCUAGUCCCCUGCUAUGCCACUGACCUGCUGUGAGGAGGCACACCACCUGGCUUGGAGGAUGGGUUGGGCCCCUGCUCGUGACAAAUCCCGCUUUGAUUUAUUUUCCACACCGAGGUCUGGGAAGCUUUGGCUGAAAACAGUGAAGACCCAGUGCUGCCUCCAAGCUGGGCUUGGCAGUGUAAGCAGUUAAUUUUCUUGCUGAGGGUGGAAAGAUAAAGUAGAGGUGUGUUAGAGCCAAGGGAGCCUCCUCUCCAUUUGCAGAAAAAGAGGAAGGUAAAGAUUUUUAGAGGAAGCGCUAUGAUUUUCCAGUACUUGGGGCUCAUGUUGCUAGCAAAGAUGAGAACUGGUAUGUGUUUGGGUCGAGGGUACCGCCAGUGAUGGUGUAAGACACCAAUACUGACAGUAAAUCCAGAUUGCAGUUGUUUAUGGAAAAUUUGCUGUAGUUUUCUUUAGUUCCAAGCGUGCGGCUGUAUCUGCAUGUUCUAGUGUUUAAUUUAAGGGAAUAGUUAUUUAUUGCUCCUGUACCAUUGGGUUAACAACCCAGACUAUGCAUUUGUGCUUUUAGGCAGUAUUUUAAAACACUGAUUCCUGAAAAAAUUGAGGUAAUUUUUUAUUUUUAUCUCCGGGGAGCUUGCCAAGGAGCCUUCUCGGACGGGAAGCUUCAGGGGUUGGCCGCGCUCGGUGACGCUUGCUUCGCCGUGCUUGGCGAGGGGCUCCGGGGAACCUUCUCACCACAGGGCCCGCCGUUAGGGAGCUGGGCCGCGGGAAGGCCGUUCCUGGGGACGGCGGCCGUUGCGGCCGUUGCGGCCGUUGGCGGGGCGGGCCCGGGGCGGGGCGAGGGGCGUUUCCCGGCGGGCCGCCGGCCCUGCCACCGCCGCGCCCCGCUGCCGCCCUCUCGGCCUCUACCGCGGCGGCACGGCUUCGCUGCGGCCCGGCGGCUCUGAGCUGUUUUUGCAGGAGAUCCAGUCCAUUGGAGAAGACAAAAAUAAGAACAGAAACUGGACUCAUUCACAGUUCUAUGAGGCUGGGCUCUGCUGUGCUUUCCCGUGGUCCCAACAGGCAGCUGAUGAAAGUCUGCGUAGAUCAUUGAGUUCAAAGGAAUUGCUGCAACCUGUUUUUGCUGAAAAUCAGCCCUGCACAUCUAGCAACGGUAAACUGGCUCUUCAGAGACCUCUGAACUGGAGAGAAGGAAAGAGCGUGGGCUUAGAGCACUUUACAGAAAGAAGGCUGAAAUUGUGUUUGGCAAGAUUCCUUCAUGCAUUUGAGGAAGAGCAAGACUGUAAUGUUUACUUUGGCAAGCACUGCUGUGGAAAGUGA